This 482-nucleotide ribosomal RNA is filed under the name uncultured bacterium. Its description in RNAcentral is "partial 16S ribosomal RNA". It matches the Rfam family "Bacterial small subunit ribosomal RNA", at positions 30 to 507 of the family's 1533-position model. The record is from RNAcentral.
AUUGAACGCUGGCGGCAUGCCUUACACAUGCAAAUCGAACGGUAACGGGCCUUCGGGUGCCGACGAGUGGCGAACGGGUGAGUAAUACAUCGGAACGUGCCCGAUCGUGGGGGAUAACGAGGCGAAAGCUUUGCUAAUACCGCAUACGAUCUACGGAUGAAAGCAGGGGACCGCAAGGCCUUGCGCGGACGGAGCGGCCGAUGGCAGAUUAGGUAGUUGGUGGGAUAAAAGCUUACCAAGCCGACGGUCUGUAGCUGGUCUGAGAGGAUGAUCAGCCACACUGGGACUGAGACACGGCCCAGACUCCUACGGGAGGCAGCAGUGGGGAAUUUUGGACAAUGGGCGCAAGCCUGAUCCAGCCAUGCCGCGUGCAGGAUGAAGGCCUUCGGGUUGUAAACUGAUUUUGUACGGAACGAAAAGCCUUCUUUUAAUACAGGAGGGUCAUGACGGUACCGUAAGAAUAAGCACCGGCUAACUACGUG